Molecule: long non-coding RNA, 2395 nt
Organism: Triplophysa dalaica
Lineage: Eukaryota; Metazoa; Chordata; Actinopteri; Cypriniformes; Nemacheilidae
Exons: 4
Source: RefSeq, a predicted model, not a curated record
GUCAGAACACUAUAGAUACACACAUUUUUAAGAAUACACACAAUUAAAGACAAAACGUAUUCUGACAUAUUCUGGUUUAAAACGUUUAAGAACGUUUAUGUUUUUACAGUUAGCUGUGUUUUACAACUGUUGUGAUUCAUUCUUAAAUUCAGAUUCAAGAGCGUCUGAAUGAGAGGUGCGCAGAUUCAAACACGUAGGGGCGGAGCUACGCAAUGUGCUGUGGCGCGUGAGACGCAACGUGAGAAUAGCGUAAAAUACUUAUUACGACGUUGUGGUGCAGUAAAUAAACCCAAUUUGGAUUAUAAAUGGCACAUUUCUGUCAAAAGGGAUAACGGCGAAAACCAUGUUACCGUAGUAACAGCGAACUGAAGAGAAAAGAAAGAUGGCGGCGCCUGAUAGGCUACACCUAAAUUAACAAAAGUGAGUUUAAUCGAGACGCAAAUUUGACCGGAUUUUUGCUUUAUUUCAAUUUGAAUGUUAUGAAUAACAUUUUAACAAACCAAUGGAAACAGCGAGUGGAUGUUAAAGCAUCACAUGACACACCGCGCAUCUGAACAUCUCUGAGGCGCUGGAAUACAGACCUUCAAAUCUCAGCAGCAGGAUCCGUUCGGCAUUGACAAGCGUGAAAGAAGCCUUGGGCUUUUUCUUCAUGUUUGGUUCCUCUGCUAUCCACCUGCUCGUUCCCGGUUCAUUGCUGAUCUAUUUGAUACUUGAAAGGUCACGAUAUGUUGUUCGGAGAAUCAGAAGUUCAGGCUCUUGCAGCUGAGACACAACAUUUGAGAAAAAUGGACUGCCGAACGGAGGAUACAACACUUCCUGGAAGGAGCUCCAGCGUGAAUGAUCCUGAAAUCCUGCAGCGAGUCUGCAAUUUCACCUGCUGGAUGAUGAAACGGACAUAAAAUCCCACAGACUGACGCAGAAGGAUGAACGUGAGUUAUAGAGAGCAGAAUAUCACAGAUGCGCGUUUGACCUGGGACGACCUUUGGGCUUUAAGCACCACCACAGAAAUUAAAGGCGAGAUUGCAGACCGCCAAAGACUGUCUCCAGCCUCUCGCUAUGAGGUCUUUAGAAGGCGUUCCUAGCUUUGGUUGUCCUAGAAACAUUUAUAAAUGUGAAACGUGAGCUCCGCUACUCUACUCCUAUUGGUAGUCUGACUCCAUUUGCAUGAAGUUGAGCAAAUCUUAACUUUGUCGAGAUCUGAAAGGCACUGGCAGAAAUGACAUUCUGAGAACAGGAGACUGAAUUCUGCCUUGAGAGACUCGCUGACCUGUUGUGUGGGAUUGACGGCUGAUAUCUGUAUCCAGACUGCUGUCUGGGACUGUCGUUGUCUAUCAGAACCUCUCAGUGAUCCACUCCCACAGAUACUCAUGACGCUCGAUUUGCAGAAGUGAGGCGUGUGUGUAUCUGUGAGUACUCUGGAAAAACCCAGCUGGUGGUUGUGACCUUUUCUAGGUCAAGUACCAAGUUCUACAUGUAUGUGCUUAUUCGCAUACUUUAUUUGCACUAGAACAUUGUAAUGUAAAAAAUGUUACCAUGGCGAUCAUAAUCACUGAUGCUGCAAUCACAAUGAUUUUCAUGACAUAAUUUUAGAGCAAUAUCUACUAUCUUCUGCUUUUAUUCAGUUUGUAGUGAAUUGAAUGGGAGAGAAAAAUCCAUCAAAAUAAAACUGCGGCUCAGAUGGUAAAGAUUUUCAUUUGUGUAAACGACAUGAUCUCUGGACACAGACAUUCAACACAGUUUACCCUGCACAGGUGAGCUGUCAGUCAUACCCUGUCACUAUGACAACAGAUUUGACAUACAGAAUAAAGUGCUGUUUGUGUGGCAUGGAUGCAAUGGAGACUGAGAUGGUGGUCUAGUGGGUUAAACCACUGAACUGGUAAAUCAAAGGUUGCUGGUUCGAUCCCAGCAGCCACCACCAGUGUGUCCUUGAGCAAGACACUUUACUCCAUGUUGCUCCAGGGGGAUUGUCCCUGUAAUAAGUGCACUGUAAGUCGCUUUGGAUAAAAGCGUCUGCCAAAUGACUAAAUGUAAUGUAAUGUAAAUGCAAUGAUCUAUUUGAUAAUCACCUUCUGUUAAUCAUUGUAUCUUUCUGGCGACCUCUCAGGCCUAAGUGUGUCUCUGGAACGGCACUACAAGGGUUUAAGUCUAACCUCUCAGGUAGGUCAUUUAGAGUCUCCGGAGUGGCGAGGUCUAAACAUCCUAAAACCGGGGUACCUCAGGGCUCAGUGCUUGGGCCACUACUCUUUUCUAUAAACUGUACAUGACACUUCUAGGUUCGGUCAUUAAGAAACAUGGCUUUUAUAACCACUGCUUUGUGGAUGAUACUCAACUUUUUUGGUAGUUGGCUUCUUAUAAUGGAGUAGGCUUAAUGACACCAGUUUUAUUGCACUUAUGC